Molecule: ribosomal RNA, 550 nt
Filed under: uncultured bacterium
Lineage: Bacteria
Description: partial 16S ribosomal RNA
Rfam family: Bacterial small subunit ribosomal RNA
Source: RNAcentral
UGGGGAAUAUUGCACAAUGGGCGAAAGCCUGAUGCAGCAACGCCGCGUGAGUGAUGAAGGCCUUCGGGUUGUAAAGCUCUGUCUUUUGGGACGAUAAUGACGGUACCAAAGGAGGAAGCCACGGCUAACUACGUGCCAGCAGCCGCGGUAAUACGUAGGUGGCAAGCGUUGUCCGGAUUUACUGGGCGUAAAGGAUGCGUAGGCGGAUUUUUAAGUGAGAUGUGAAAUACCCGGGCUUAACUUGGGUGCUGCAUUUCAAACUGGGAAUCUAGAGUGCGGGAGAGGAGAAUGGAAUUCCUAGUGUAGCGGUGAAAUGCGUAGAGAUUAGGAAGAACACCAGUGGCGAAGGCGAUUCUCUGGACCGUAACUGACGCUGAGGCAUGAAAGCGUGGGUAGCAAACAGGAUUAGAUACCCUGGUAGUCCACGCCGUAAACGAUGAGUACUAGGUGUAGGAGGUAUCGACCCCUUCUGUGCCGCAGUUAACACAAUCAAGUACUCCGCCUGGGAAGUACGAUCGCAAGAUUAAAACUCAAAUGAAUUGACGGGGUC